AUGUUCUUGUCUCAAUCUCUGAGCCGGGUAAACAACAUCCGCACCACCCUCAUCAACGCGCAGAAGGGGACCCAGUCCGUCGCCACCUUCUUCGCCUACAUGCGUGGCCUGGCGGACGAGCUCGCUGCGGCCGGCAAGCCUCUCCAGGACGAUGAGCUCGUCUCCUACAUCCUCCAUGGGCUGGACAUGGACUACCAGCCCCUGGUGUCCGCCCUCGACGCGCGCACCAUGCCGGUCUCCAUCGACGAACUCUUCUCCAUGAUAAGUAACUUCGACCAGCGAGUGGCGCUCUUCCAGUCCUCGGGC
This 306-nucleotide ribosomal RNA is filed under the name Triticum aestivum (bread wheat). RNAcentral describes it as "partial small subunit ribosomal RNA". Lineage: Eukaryota; Viridiplantae; Streptophyta; Magnoliopsida; Poales; Poaceae. The record is from RNAcentral.